Molecule: transfer RNA, 67 nt
Filed under: Cyrtodactylus papeda (Obi bent-toad gecko)
Lineage: Eukaryota; Metazoa; Chordata; Lepidosauria; Squamata; Gekkonidae
Description: Cyrtodactylus sp. MMunir-2022a partial tRNA-Trp
Source: RNAcentral
AAGCUUAGGUUAAACAAACCAAGGACCUUCAAAGCCCUAAACAUGAGCACCACCGCCCUCCUAGCUU